CCACUUCCUCCGCCCGCAUGAUCCCAAAAAGUUGCAGACUUUUUGGAUAAGAUUAUGCGUCUGGGGCAUGAAGGUUAUCAGGGGCCGUAGCUCAGCUGGGAGAGCGCCUGCUUUGCAAGCAGGAUGUCGUCGGUUCGAUCCCGUCCGGCUCCACCAACCAUCUUCUGCGAAGAUGGGGCGUGUCGAGCGGAGACGGUGAGAAAAAAGUCAUUCGAAAAAGAGUUUGCGUCGAGCCUCGUGCUCUGCGCCUGUUCUGUUUGACAUCGUAAAGAGAAGAUUUGUUCGAACUUCAUGAGCCGCAAGGACCAUGAUUUGUCGCAAGGGACGCUCAAUCCCUUGCCUAUGAUGGGUUUGCCUAACCGCGCCCUCGAACGGAUCUCGAGAAGCUGGUCUUUUUGUGCCAAUUCCAACCAGUAAUACCCCGCACAGGGUGUUGCUGGAGCGACGAUCUCUUCGAGAUCGCGCUUAUGCGACGAUCCUUCGGAUCGCGCUUAGCCAAUCCCGCAAGGGAGAGGCUGAAGCGACGAUCCCUGCGGGAUCGCGCGAUGAUGGGUAUUGGCAAUGAGAACGAUCAAGUGUCUUAAGGGCAAUUGGUGGAUGCCUUGGCAUGCACAGGCGAUGAAGGACGUGAUACGCUGCGAUAAGCUACGGGGAGGUGCGAAUACCCUUUGAUCCGUAGAUCUCCGA
This 687-nucleotide unclassified non-coding RNA is filed under the name Mesorhizobium sp. LCM 3745. RNAcentral describes it as "partial 16S-23S ribosomal RNA intergenic spacer". The stretch from base 570 to 687 matches the Rfam family "Bacterial large subunit ribosomal RNA", at positions 1 to 117 of the family's 2925-position model. The record is from RNAcentral. Lineage: Bacteria; Pseudomonadati; Pseudomonadota; Alphaproteobacteria; Hyphomicrobiales; Phyllobacteriaceae.